RNAcentral lists this ribosomal RNA (288 nucleotides) under uncultured bacterium. RNAcentral describes it as "partial 16S ribosomal RNA". It matches the Rfam family "Bacterial small subunit ribosomal RNA", at positions 20 to 334 of the family's 1533-position model. The record is from RNAcentral.
UGGCUCAGAACGAACGCUGGCGGCAGGCUUAACACAUGCAAGUCGAGCGCACUCUUUUAGAGUGAGCGGCAAACGGGUGAGUAACGCGUGGGAAUCUACCCCUCUCUACGGAAUAACACAGAGAAAUUUGUGCUAAUACCGUAUACGUCCCUUUUGGGAGAAAGAUUUAUCGGAGAUGGAUGAGCCCGCGUUGGAUUAGCUAGUUGGUGAGGUAACGGCCCACCAAGCGACGAUCCAUAGCUGGUCUGAGAGGAUGAUCAGCCACACUGGGACUGAGACACGGCCCAG